Molecule: ribosomal RNA, 501 nt
Filed under: uncultured bacterium
Lineage: Bacteria
Description: bacterial SSU rRNA
Rfam family: Bacterial small subunit ribosomal RNA
Source: RNAcentral
AGGAUGAACGCUAGCUACAGGCUAACACAUGCAAGUCGAGGGCAGCAUGAAGUUGCUUGCAAACUUGAUGGCGACCGGCGCACGGGUGAGUAACGCGUAUCCAACCUUCCCUAUACUAGAGGAUAGCCCGGCGAAAGUCGGAUUAAUACUCUAUGUUCUUCGUAGAAGACAUCUGAAAUGAAGCAAAGGUUUACCGGUAUAGGAUGGGGAUGCGUCUGAUUAGGUUGUUGGCGGGGUAACGGCCCACCAAGCCUACGAUCAGUAGGGGUUCUGAGAGGAAGGUCCCCCACAUUGGAACUGAGACACGGUCCAAACUCCUACGGGAGGCAGCAGUGAGGAAUAUUGGUCAAUGGACGUGAGUCUGAACCAGCCAAGUAGCGUGCAGGGAAUGACGGCCCUAUGGGUUGUAAACUGCUUUUAUGCGGGGAUAAAGUGCGCCACGUGUGGCGUUUUGUAGGUACCGCAUGAAUAAGGACCGGCUAAUUCCGUGCCAGCAGCUGC